GGCUCGUUGGUCUAGGGGUAUGAUUCUCGCUUUGCGAGAGGUCCCGGGUUCAAAUCCCGGACGAGCCC
Molecule: transfer RNA, 68 nt
Filed under: Perca fluviatilis (European perch)
Lineage: Eukaryota; Metazoa; Chordata; Actinopteri; Perciformes; Percidae
Rfam family: tRNA
About the family: Transfer RNA (tRNA) molecules are approximately 80 nucleotides in length. Their secondary structure includes four short double-helical elements and three loops (D, anti-codon, and T loops).
Source: Rfam by way of RNAcentral